UACGAAGGGGGGCUAGCGUUGCUCGGAAUCACUGGGCGUAAAGCGCACGUAGGCGGCUUUUUAAGUCAGGGGUGAAAUCCUGGAGCUCAACUCCAGAACUGCCUUUGAUACUGAGAGGCUUGAGUCCGGGAGAGGUGAGUGGAACUGCGAGUGUAGAGGUGAAAUUCGUAGAUAUUCGCAAGAACACCAGUGGCGAAGGCGGCUCACUGGCCCGGUACUGACGCUGAGGUGCGAAAGCGUGGGGGAGCAAACAGG
This 255-nucleotide ribosomal RNA is filed under the name uncultured bacterium. RNAcentral's name for it is "partial 16S ribosomal RNA". It matches the Rfam family "Bacterial small subunit ribosomal RNA", at positions 524 to 776 of the family's 1533-position model. The record is from RNAcentral.